AACGUAGGAGACAAACGUUAUCCGGAGUUACUGGGCGUAAAGGGCGUGCAGGCGGUUCGCUAAGUCUGGCGUGAAAUCAUUCGGCUUAACCGGGUGAUGGCGUCGGAGACUGACGGACUAGAGGGUGAUAGAGGCGUGUGGAAUUCCGGGUGUAGUGGUGAAAUGCGUAGAGAUCCGGAGGAACACCAGUGGCGAAGGCGACACGCUGGGUCACACCUGACGCUAAAACGCGACAGCAUGGGGAGCAAACGGG
RNAcentral lists this ribosomal RNA (253 nucleotides) under uncultured bacterium. Its description in RNAcentral is "partial 16S ribosomal RNA". It matches the Rfam family "Bacterial small subunit ribosomal RNA", at positions 524 to 776 of the family's 1533-position model. The record is from RNAcentral.